This 365-nucleotide ribosomal RNA is filed under the name uncultured Thermovirga sp. RNAcentral's name for it is "bacterial SSU rRNA". It matches the Rfam family "Bacterial small subunit ribosomal RNA", at positions 1018 to 1382 of the family's 1533-position model. Lineage: Bacteria; Thermotogati; Synergistota; Synergistia; Synergistales; Thermovirgaceae. The record is from RNAcentral.
CGGAGUGAGAGCGUACACAGGUGCUGCAUGGCUGUCGUCAGCUCGUGUCGUGAGAUGUUGGGUUAAGUCCCGCAACGAGCGCAACCCUGCAUUCAGUUGCCAUCGGUAAGGCCGGGCACUCUGGAUGGACUGCCGGCGACAAGCCGGAGGAAGGUGGGGACGACGUCAAGUCAUCAUGGCCCUUAUGUCCAGGGCGACACACGUGCUACAAUGGCCGGCACAACGGGAAGCGAAGGGGCGACCCUGAGCGGAUCCCACAAAAGCCGGUCCCAGUUCGGAUUGCAGUCUGCAACUCGACUGCAUGAAGUUGGAAUCGCUAGUAAUCGUGGAUCAGCCAAGCCGCGGUGAAUACGUUCCCGGGCCUU